Transfer RNA from Camelus ferus (Wild Bactrian camel), 72 nucleotides. It matches the Rfam family "tRNA". Rfam says of the family: Transfer RNA (tRNA) molecules are approximately 80 nucleotides in length. Their secondary structure includes four short double-helical elements and three loops (D, anti-codon, and T loops). The record is from Rfam. NCBI's taxonomy places the organism in Eukaryota, Metazoa, Chordata, Mammalia, Artiodactyla, Camelidae.
GAGGGUGUAGCUCAGUGGUAGAGUGCCUACUUAGCAUGCAUGAGGUCCUGGGUUCAACUCCCAGUACCUCCA